This 490-nucleotide ribosomal RNA is filed under the name uncultured bacterium. Its description in RNAcentral is "partial 16S ribosomal RNA". It matches the Rfam family "Bacterial small subunit ribosomal RNA", at positions 29 to 507 of the family's 1533-position model. The record is from RNAcentral.
AGUGAACGCUGGCGGUAGGCCUAACACAUGCAAGUCGAACGGCAGCACAGGAUAGCUUGCUCUCUGGGUGGCGAGUGGCGGACGGGUGAGGAAUACAUCGGAAUCUGCCCAGUCGUGGGGGAUACCGUAGGGAAACUUACGCUAAUACCGCUUACGACCUUCGGGUGAAAGAGGGGGAUCGCAAGACCUCUCGCGAUUGGAUGAGCCGAUGUCGGAUUAGCUAGUUGGCGGGGUAAUGGCCCACCAAGGCGACGAUCCGUAGCUGGUCUGAGAGGAUGAUCAGCCAAACUGGAACUGAGACACGGUCAAGACUCCUACGGGAGGAAGCAGUGGGGAAUAUUGGACAAUGGGCGCAAGCCUGAUCCAGACAUACCGCGUGGGUGAAGAAGGCCUUCGGGUUGUAAAGCCCUUUUGUUGGGAAAGAAAUCGUUCAGGCUAAUACCCUGGGAGGAUGACGGUACCCAAAGAAUAAGCAACGGCUAACUUCGUG